GCCUUGACUGGUAUGGCUCAGUUGGUUGAGCAUUGGCCUGCAAAGCAAAAGGUCCCUGGUUCAAUUCCUGGUCAGGGCA
This is a non-coding RNA of Phyllostomus hastatus (greater spear-nosed bat), 79 nucleotides long. NCBI's taxonomy places the organism in Eukaryota, Metazoa, Chordata, Mammalia, Chiroptera, Phyllostomidae. The record is from the annotation of a RefSeq genome assembly.